CUUGACACUGAACAUUGAGCCUUGAUGUGUAGGAUAGGUGGGAGGCUUUGAAGCGUGGACGCCAGUCUGCGUGGAGCCAACCUUGAAAUACCACCCUUUAAUGUUUGAUGUUCUAACGUUGGCCCCUUACCGGGGUUGCGGACAGUGUCUGGUGGGUAGUUUGACUGGGGCGGUCUCCUCCCAAAGCGUAACGGAGGAGCACGAAGGUUAGCUAAUCCUGGUCGGACAUCAGGAGGUUAGUGCAAUGGCAUAAGCUA
This 257-nucleotide ribosomal RNA is filed under the name Klebsiella pneumoniae. RNAcentral describes it as "partial 23S ribosomal RNA". It matches the Rfam family "Bacterial large subunit ribosomal RNA", at positions 2110 to 2366 of the family's 2925-position model. The record is from RNAcentral. RNAcentral also lists the same sequence under 2 other names. Lineage: Bacteria; Pseudomonadati; Pseudomonadota; Gammaproteobacteria; Enterobacterales; Enterobacteriaceae.